Molecule: transfer RNA, 68 nt
Filed under: Ictidomys tridecemlineatus (thirteen-lined ground squirrel)
Lineage: Eukaryota; Metazoa; Chordata; Mammalia; Rodentia; Sciuridae
Description: Spermophilus tridecemlineatus (thirteen-lined ground squirrel) tRNA
Rfam family: tRNA
About the family: Transfer RNA (tRNA) molecules are approximately 80 nucleotides in length.
Source: Rfam by way of RNAcentral
GGAAAUGUGGCUCAGGGGUAGAGCACUUGCCUGGCACACAAGGCCUGGAUUCAACCCCAACACUUCCC